AACCCAUGUUAAGGACAUUUUCGUAUGAGUUCCUAGAACCUAUACCAUGUCUCAAAUAGAGACUCUAAUUCUGUUUGAACAAAAGAUGAUAUUUUAUUCCUAAACUU
Small nucleolar RNA from Dioscorea cayenensis subsp. rotundata (Guinea yam), 107 nucleotides. NCBI's taxonomy places the organism in Eukaryota, Viridiplantae, Streptophyta, Magnoliopsida, Dioscoreales, Dioscoreaceae. The record is from RefSeq and is a predicted model, not a curated record.